Molecule: ribosomal RNA, 557 nt
Filed under: uncultured bacterium
Lineage: Bacteria
Description: partial 16S ribosomal RNA
Rfam family: Bacterial small subunit ribosomal RNA
Source: RNAcentral
UGGGGAAUUUUGGACAAUGGGGGAAACCCUGAUCCAGCCAUCCCGCGUGUGCGAUGAAGGCCUUCGGGUUGUAAAGCACUUUUGGCAGGAAAGAAACGUCGCGGGUUAAUACCCCGCGAAACUGACGGUACCUGCAGAAUAAGCACCGGCUAACUACGUGCCAGCAGCCGCGGUAAUACGUAGGGUGCAAGCGUUAAUCGGAAUUACUGGGCGUAAAGCGUGCGCAGGCGGUUCGGAAAGAAAGAUGUGAAAUCCCAGAGCUUAACUUUGGAACUGCAUUUUUAACUACCGGGCUAGAGUGUGUCAGAGGGAGGUGGAAUUCCGCGUGUAGCAGUGAAAUGCGUAGAUAUGCGGAGGAACACCGAUGGCGAAGGCAGCCUCCUGGGAUAACACUGACGCUCAUGCACGAAAGCGUGGGGAGCAAACAGGAUUAGAUACCCUGGUAGUCCACGCCCUAAACGAUGUCAACUAGCUGUUGGGGCCUUCGGGCCUUGGUGGCGCAGCUAACGCGUGAAGUUGACCGCCUGGGGAGUACGGUCGCAAGAUUAAAACUCAAA